GGCCUGGUAGCCAAGUAGCUAAGGCAACGGUCUGCAAAACCGUUAUACGUGGGUGCAACUCCCGCCCAGGCCUCCA
This 76-nucleotide transfer RNA is filed under the name bacterium. RNAcentral's name for it is "tRNA-Cys". It matches the Rfam family "tRNA". From Rfam's summary of the family: Transfer RNA (tRNA) molecules are approximately 80 nucleotides in length. Their secondary structure includes four short double-helical elements and three loops (D, anti-codon, and T loops). The record is from RNAcentral.